UUACGAGGUCAGGACACUGUGAGGAUUGACAGAUUGAAAGCUCUUUCUUGAUUCAGUGGGUGGUGGUGCAUGGCCGUUCUUAGUUGGUGGAGUGAUUUGUCUGGUUAAUUCCGUUAACGAACGAGACCUUAGCCUGCUAAAUAGUCACGCGAACCGGUCCGCAAGGGCUCAAAGUUCGCGGCUCGACUUCUUAGAGGGACUAUUCGCACCCGCCAGCGAAUGGAAGUUUGAGGCAAUAACAGGUCUGUGAUGCCCUUAGAUGUUCUCGGCCGCACGCGCGUUACACUGACGGAGUCAACGAGCGUUUUUCCUUGCCCGACAGGGCUGGGUAACCUCCUGAAACUCCGUCGUGAUGGGGAUAGAUCAUUGCAAUUAUUGAUCUUGAACGAGGAAUUCCUAGUAAGCGCGAGUCAUCAACUCGCGCUGAUUACGUCCCUGCCCUUUGUACACACCGCCCGUCGCUCCUACCGAUUGAACGGUCCGGCGGGAACUCCGGAUGGUC
Molecule: ribosomal RNA, 502 nt
Filed under: Vermamoeba vermiformis
Lineage: Eukaryota; Tubulinea; Echinamoebida; Vermamoebidae
Description: SSU rRNA
Rfam family: Eukaryotic small subunit ribosomal RNA
Source: RNAcentral